Molecule: long non-coding RNA, 83 nt
Filed under: Sus scrofa (pig)
Lineage: Eukaryota; Metazoa; Chordata; Mammalia; Artiodactyla; Suidae
Description: lncRNA (ENSSSCG00055008890.1)
Source: RNAcentral
AACCAAACAUCCUCUGGUGGAUCCUGAAUCCCUGUGCCUGUGGAACCCAGGACUGAGUCCUGGGUCCCAGUGGCAACAGAUGC